GAGAGCUUGCUCUCGGGUGACGAGCGGCGGACGGGUGAGUAAUGUCUGGGAAACUGCCUGAUGGAGGGGGAUAACUACUGGAAACGGUAGCUAAUACCGCAUAACGUCGCAAGACCAAAGUGGGGGACCUUCGGGCCUCAUGCCAUCAAAUGUGCCCAGAUGGGAUUAGCUAGUAGGUGGGGUAAUGGCUCACCUAGGCGACGAUCCCUAGCUGGUCUGAGAGGAUGACCAGCCACACUGGAACUGAGACACGGUCCAGACUCCUACGGGAGGCAGCAGUGGGGAAUAUUGCACAAUGGGCGCAAGCCUGAUGCAGCCAUGCCGCGUGUAUGAAGAAGGCCUUCGGGUUGUAAAGUACUUUCAGCGAGGAGGAAGGCAUUAAGGUUAAUAACCUUAGUGAUUGACGUUACUCGCAKAACAAGCACCGGCUA
This 431-nucleotide ribosomal RNA is filed under the name uncultured Enterobacteriaceae bacterium. RNAcentral describes it as "bacterial SSU rRNA". It matches the Rfam family "Bacterial small subunit ribosomal RNA", at positions 74 to 499 of the family's 1533-position model. The record is from RNAcentral. Lineage: Bacteria; Pseudomonadati; Pseudomonadota; Gammaproteobacteria; Enterobacterales; Enterobacteriaceae.